AUUGAACGCUGGCGGCAUGCUUUACACAUGCAAGUCGAACGGCAGCGCGGGCUUCGGCCUGGCUGCGAGUGGCGAACGGGGGAGUAAUGCAUCGGAACGUGCCCAGUAGUGGGGGAUAGCCCGGCGAAAGCCGGAUUAAUACCGCAUACGACCUGAGGGUGAAAGCGGGGGACCGAAAGGCCUCGCGCUAUUGGAGCGGCCGAUGUCGGAUUAGCUAGUUGGUGGGGUAAAGGCUUACCAAGGCGACGAUCCGUAGCUGGUCUGAGAGGGCGACCAGCCACACUGGAACUGAGACACGGCCCAGACUCCUACGGGAGGCAGCAGUGGGGAAUUUUGGACAAUGGGGGCAACCCUGAUCCAGCCAUGCCGCGUGCGGGAAGAAGGCCUUCGGGUUGUAAACCGCUUUUGUUCGGGAAGAAAUACUCUGGGCUAAUACCCCGGGGGGAUGACGGUACCGGAAGAAUAAGCACCGGCUAACUACGUG
RNAcentral lists this ribosomal RNA (484 nucleotides) under uncultured bacterium. RNAcentral describes it as "partial 16S ribosomal RNA". It matches the Rfam family "Bacterial small subunit ribosomal RNA", at positions 29 to 507 of the family's 1533-position model. The record is from RNAcentral.